AUUCUGUUCUUCUGUCCUUUAGAGGGAGCCAUUUCCUCAUCUGCAGUGCUCCAGAGAUAUAUAACAUGACUGGGAACUGCUGACUAGGAGACAGUGACCUUCAGACUGAGAAGAGCCAAGACUUCAAAGAGGAAUGUACAGUAUCCUCCUCUGCUCUGCACCAGAUAGACUCCCCCUAUUACAAGUGAUGCCCCAACACACCAGGAGGGUGAAGACUCACACCUGCUUCCUCUACUACGUGAAGUUAGCCACCGCCACUUUUUGAACUGCUGCUGAUGCAGCAUUGCCAAGUAGCAUUACAGUGCAUUCGGAGGAAAGUGCAGCGACUCAGAGCAAUGCCAAUUGUGCUCUCUCAGGGCUCCGGUAGCUGAUGGCAAGCUACAUAACCAGGAUUCAAACCUGCGAUCUCCUGAUCUUAGUGGCAGCGCUUAGCAUGCUGGACCACUUGGAGCCCCCUAGUGCAGUAAGUUGCCUUAAAAUUUUGUUUUCUCAGUUUUUUUUUUUGUAUUUGUUCUGGUCGCACAGAGUCCACUGUUUAGUGGAAUCUGUCUUGACUUGCUUUUGCACUUGACUUCGGCUUAGUCUUAUUUGGAUUUGCUCUUAUUUAGGCUUGAUUCUCUCUCUCUCUCUCUCUCUUUCUCUCUCAGACUCUUGUUUCAGCUUUGCCUCGCUUUAAUGUGUGUCAUAGUCAGCUGGGGGUCCUAAAUCAGAUAUUCCUUCUUUCAGAGUUGGUUUUGACUCGUACUUGAUAAAGGUGCUCUCAACUACCACACUUAUUACAUUACACACAUUAUGUAGUUUUGAACUUUCAUUCCUCCUGUAAUUUAUUAUUAUUUAAUCUUGAAUGUGACUGAGUGCCUACCACCCGUACCACACACACAC
This is a long non-coding RNA of Astyanax mexicanus (Mexican tetra), 882 nucleotides long. RefSeq lists it as uncharacterized. Lineage: Eukaryota; Metazoa; Chordata; Actinopteri; Characiformes; Acestrorhamphidae. The record is from RefSeq and is a predicted model, not a curated record. The transcript is spliced from 3 exons.